This 685-nucleotide ribosomal RNA is filed under the name Anaplasma sp. RNAcentral describes it as "bacterial SSU rRNA". It matches the Rfam family "Bacterial small subunit ribosomal RNA", at positions 63 to 782 of the family's 1533-position model. Lineage: Bacteria; Pseudomonadati; Pseudomonadota; Alphaproteobacteria; Rickettsiales; Anaplasmataceae. The record is from RNAcentral.
UGAUUUUUGGUCGUAGCUUGCUAUGAUAAAAAUUAGUGGCAGACGGGUGAGUAAUGCAUAGGAAUCUACCUAGUAGUAUGGGAUAGCCACUAGAAAUGGUGGGUAAUACUGUAUAAUCCCUGCGGGGGAAAGAUUUAUCGCUAUUAGAUGAGCCUAUGUUAGAUUAGCUAGUUGGUAGGGUAAAGGCCUACCAAGGCAGUGAUCUAUAGCUGGUCUGAGAGGAUGAUCAGCCACACUGGAACUGAGAUACGGUCCAGACUCCUACGGGAGGCAGCAGUGGGGAAUAUUGGACAAUGGGCGCAAGCCUGAUCCAGCUAUGCCGCGUGAGUGAGGAAGGCCUUAGGGUUGUAAAACUCUUUCAGUGGGGAAGAUAAUGACGGUACCCACAGAAGAAGUCCCGGCAAACUCCGUGCCAGCAGCCGCGGUAAUACGGAGGGGGCAAGCGUUGUUCGGAAUUAUUGGGCGUAAAGGGCAUGUAGGCGGUUCGGUAAGUUAAAGGUGAAAUGCCAGGGCUUAACCCUGGAGCUGCUUUUAAUACUGCCAGACUCGAGUCCGGGAGAGGAUAGCGGAAUUCCUAGUGUAGAGGUGAAAUUCGUAGAUAUUAGGAGGAACACCAGUGGCGAAGGCGGCUAUCUGGUCCGGUACUGACGCUGAGGUGCGAAAGCGUGGGAGCAAACAGGAUAGA